CGGUUCCUCCGCCAGCUCCUCCUGCACCAUCUCCUCCGGCUCCUCCGCCAGCUCCUCCUGCACCAUCUCCUCUGGCUCCUCCGCCUCCUCCAUCUCCACCGUGUCCGCCUGCACCUCCCAAGACAAGGUCUCGCUAAGCUCCACCGCAUGCCCGCACAAGGGCAACGAAGAAGGCGAAAGUUGACGCCACCAAAAACAGGGAGCCGCCGUACGAUUGCAGUCAAGAGGAGCUUGAUGCUUAUGUGGC
RNAcentral lists this long non-coding RNA (247 nucleotides) under Oryza sativa (Asian cultivated rice). RNAcentral's name for it is "long non-coding RNA (OSAT_LNC001831)". Lineage: Eukaryota; Viridiplantae; Streptophyta; Magnoliopsida; Poales; Poaceae. The record is from RNAcentral.